Molecule: long non-coding RNA, 1671 nt
Filed under: Homo sapiens (human)
Lineage: Eukaryota; Metazoa; Chordata; Mammalia; Primates; Hominidae
Description: HSALNT0408119
Source: RNAcentral
GGAACUUUCAUUAUUUGGGAUUGCUGCUAUUUGGGAUUCUGACUGUUUGGGAUAAUCUCCAUUUCUUUACCCCUUUAGGUGGGCAGGAAUCAUUUAAAAGCAGAUGGCAAAGACGGCCUCCUGGCUCCUGGUUAGUUGGUGGUUAGCAACUGUCAGGGUCCUGACUCAGCAGAGUAUAGGAAGGAACUGCAUAGUCACUUAGCAGUGGACCAACUAGAAAACUGCCUUUAUUCAUAACAAUAACGUUUGAAAAAGAAACCAGUAUCUCUAUCUGAACAGGCACAAGCCCAAUACAGAUCUUGGAUCUGGCACAUCAGUAGAUGUUUAUCUCUCAGACCCUCAAAUAAUAAAACAGAGCUCAGGGUCUCAGGGUAAAACAAUCAGCUUCCUGGACUCACAUAGGAAAAAGCUAAUAUGGUGGUAAUAAGCCACUUAAAUAGCUGUCUGCCUAUGUUACAAUAACAUGCUCUUUGCGUUCCUUCCAACAGCUCCCAAAGGCCAUGUGCUGUGGACAGUCACACUUUGUGGGUACCUCUAUCCCACUCCAUACACCUACCCAAAGAAAGCAGAUCAUUUUUAAUCUCUCCCAAACUUUAAAACAAUGUAUUGAAUUUUUCCCUUUCCUUUGCUUUUUCUUUUCUUCUUCUUUUUUUCUUUCUCUUCUGCUUUUAGUCUAUUGGAUUUUUUUUCUUAUUAUCCUUUUUAGUGUUGGGGUAUUUUUUUUCUUUGUUAUUGUUGUUGAUGAUGAUUCUUUUGCCUUUCCUUCCUCUCAUUUCUCCAUGUUUUCUUUUGUUGUUGUUUUUGUGUUUUUAGGACAGCUCCCUUUUCUGUUUUCAGGGAUUUGUUUUAAAUUUUUGUGAUUUGGGAUUUGGCAGUUUGGGAUUCUCUUUUUGCUUUGUUGUUUUGUGUGUUGUGUGAGUUUUGUGUUUGUUUUGUUUCUUUUUUGUUUGGCGCUUUUAUUUUAUAUUUUCCAUUUUUGAAAUUCUUCCUCUUGUUUGCUUGUUUUUUUUUUUCUUUUCUGUAUUUUUUAUUAUCCAUGCUUUCUUUCUUUAUUUGGGUUUUAAUUGUUUUUCUUGUUUUUUAGGGUUUUUGUUCGGAGUUUUCAGAUUUUUUUUAGAAUUUAAGACUUUAAGAUUCCUGAGCCAAGAUGGCCGAAGACGAACAGCUCUGGUCUACAGCUCACAGCGUGAGCGACACAGAAGACAGGUGAUUUCUGCAUUUCCAUCUGAGGUACCAGGUUCAUCUCACUAGGGAGUGCCAGACAGUGGGCAAGGGACAGUGGGUGCAGUGCACCAUGCGUGAGCCGAAGCAGGAUGAAGCAUUGCCUCACUUGGGAAGUGCAAGAGGUCAGGGAGUUCCCUUUCCUAGUCCAAGAAAUGGGUGGCAGACGGCACCUGGAAAAUCGGGUCACUCCCACCAUAAUACUGUGCUUUUCGGACGGGCUGUAAAAACGGUGCACCAGGAGAUUAUAUCCCACACCUUCCUUGGAGGGUCCUAUGCCCACGGAGUCUCCCUGAUUGCUAGCACAGCAGUCUGAGGUCAAACAGCAAGGUGGCAGCCAGGCUAGGGGAGGGGCGCCCACCAUUGCCCAGGCUUGCUUAAGUAAACAAUGCAGCUGGGAAGCUCAAACUGGGUGGAGCCCACCACAGCUCAAGGAGGCCUGCCUGCCUC